UACGUAGGGUGCAAGCGUUAAUCGGAAUUACUGGGCGUAAAGCGUGCGCAGGCGGUUCGCUGUGUCCUGUGUGAAAGCCCCGGGCUUAACCUGGGAAUGGCAUGGGAAACUGGCGAGCUUGAGUGCGGCAGAGGGGGGUGGAAUUCCGCGUGUAGCAGUGAAAUGCGUAGAGAUGCGGAGGAACACCGAUGGCGAAGGCAGCCCCCUGGGCUAACACUGACGCUCAUGCACGAAAGCGUGGGGAGCAAACAGG
RNAcentral lists this ribosomal RNA (253 nucleotides) under uncultured bacterium. RNAcentral describes it as "partial 16S ribosomal RNA". It matches the Rfam family "Bacterial small subunit ribosomal RNA", at positions 524 to 776 of the family's 1533-position model. The record is from RNAcentral.